GUGAGGAAUAUUGGUCAAUGGGCGGAAGCCUGAACCAGCCAUGCCGCGUGCAGGAAGACGGCCCUACGGGUUGUAAACUGCUUUUCCGGGGGAAGAAUAAUCCCGACGUGUCGGGAGACGACGGUACCCCGGGAAUAAGGAUCGGCUAACUCCGUGCCAGCAGCCGCGGUAAUACGGAGGAUCCGAGCGUUAUCCGGAUUUACUGGGUUUAAAGGGUGCGUAGGCGGGCGCUUAAGUCAGCGGUGAAAUGCGGGGGCUCAACCUUCGAACGGCCGUUGAUACUGGGCGCCUUGGAUUCGGUCGAGGCGGGCGGAAUGCGACAUGUAGCGGUGAAAUGCUUAGAUAUGUCGCAGAACGCCGAUUGCGAAGGCAGCUCGCCGGGCCGAGAUUGACGCUGAGGCACGAAAGCGUGGGGAUCGAACAGGAUUAGAAACCCUAGUAGUCC
This 445-nucleotide ribosomal RNA is filed under the name uncultured bacterium. Its description in RNAcentral is "bacterial SSU rRNA". It matches the Rfam family "Bacterial small subunit ribosomal RNA", at positions 354 to 796 of the family's 1533-position model. The record is from RNAcentral.